RNAcentral lists this ribosomal RNA (775 nucleotides) under uncultured bacterium. Its description in RNAcentral is "bacterial SSU rRNA". It matches the Rfam family "Bacterial small subunit ribosomal RNA", at positions 80 to 848 of the family's 1533-position model. The record is from RNAcentral.
CUGCUUCGCUGACGAGUGGCGGACGGGUGAGUAAUGUCUGGGAAACUGCCUGAUGGAGGGGGAUAACUACUGGAAACGGUAGCUAAUACCGCAUAACGCCGCAAGACCAAAGAGGGGGACCUUCGGGCCUCUUGCCAUCGGAUGUGCCCAGAUGGGAUUAGCUAGUAGGUGGGGUAACGGCUCACCUAGGCGACGAUCCCUAGCUGGUCUGAGAGGAUGACCAGCCACACUGGAACUGAGACACGGUCCAGACUCCUACGGGAGGCAGCAGUGGGGAAUAUUGCACAAUGGGCGCAAGCCUGAUGCAGCCAUGCCGCGUGUAUGAAGAAGGCCUUCGGGUUGUAAAGUACUUUCAGCGGGGAGGAAGGCGAUAAGGUUAAUAACCUUGUCGAUUGACGUUACCCGCAGAAGAAGCACCGGCUAACUCCGUGCCAGCAGCCGCGGUAAUACGGAGGGUGCAAGCGUUAAUCGGAAUUACUGGGCGUAAAGCGCACGCAGGCGGUCUGUCAAGUCGGAUGUGAAAUCCCCGGGCUCAACCUGGGAACUGCAUUCGAAACUGGCAGGCUAGAGUCUUGUAGAGGGGGGUGGAAUUCCAGGUGUAGCGGUGAAAUGCGUAGAGAUCUGGAGGAAUACCGGUGGCGAAGGCGGCCCCCUGGGACAAAGACUGACGCUCAGGUGCGAAAGCGUGGGGAGCAAAACAGGAUUAGAUACCCUGGUAGUCCACGCCGUAAACGAUGUCGACUUGGAGGUUGUGCCCCUUGAGGCGUGGCUUCCG